This 73-nucleotide transfer RNA is filed under the name Stegodyphus mimosarum. It matches the Rfam family "tRNA". From Rfam's summary of the family: Transfer RNA (tRNA) molecules are approximately 80 nucleotides in length. Their secondary structure includes four short double-helical elements and three loops (D, anti-codon, and T loops). Lineage: Eukaryota; Metazoa; Arthropoda; Arachnida; Araneae; Eresidae. The record is from Rfam by way of RNAcentral.
GCCUUCGUGGUGAAGUGAUCAGCACGCUCGACGCGUAACCGAGAGGUCCGUGGUUCAAUUCCCGGCGAAAGCA